Pogona vitticeps (central bearded dragon) is the source of this 485-nucleotide non-coding RNA. The record is from RefSeq and is a predicted model, not a curated record. Lineage: Eukaryota; Metazoa; Chordata; Lepidosauria; Squamata; Agamidae.
UAUUGUAUGCCAUCUAUUGAGGUCCUAUUGAGGAGAAAGGCAGGAUAUAGAUGUUAUAAAUAAUAAUAACAAUGUUCUCUAUCUCUGCCUCAAACCAAAGAUCUUAAUGGAAAGCCAGAAAAUAGAGAAAGAUAUGGUUUACAUGUUUACUAUUGUUCAUUUCUACAACAUAUAGAGAUUGCAGGUUUUGGCUGCAACAAAUAUAGGCCUUUGUGUACUUUUUAGGCAACCUAGGAUUCAAACCUAUCGUGUGAUGCCUCUCUGGAUUAAAAUAUGCCUUUUUUCUGAACACAUGCAGACAGAGAAAUCCACACACUUCAUUCAUCUGCUUUUCACAUGAUUUUUUUCUCAUGUGAUUGUGUGCGUGUGUGCAUGUGCACAAAUACACACAGACACACUACUAAAGAAAAAUGUUUAAGAAGCUCUGACUUCUCUGAAAUUCACACUUUCUGGCCUAGAUAAUAAACUCCAAGAUACAAGGGCAA